UACGUAGGGUGCAAGCGUUGUCCGGAAUUAUUGGGCGUAAAGAGCUCGUAGGCGGUCUGUCGCGUCUGCUGUGAAAACUCGGGGCUCAACCCCGGGCCUGCAGUGGGUACGGGCAGACUAGAGUGCGGUAGGGGAGACUGGAAUUCCUGGUGUAGCGGUGAAAUGCGCAGAUAUCAGGAGGAACACCGGUGGCGAAGGCGGGUCUCUGGGCCGUAACUGACGCUGAGGAGCGAAAGCAUGGGUAGCGAACAGG
RNAcentral lists this ribosomal RNA (253 nucleotides) under uncultured bacterium. Its description in RNAcentral is "partial 16S ribosomal RNA". It matches the Rfam family "Bacterial small subunit ribosomal RNA", at positions 524 to 776 of the family's 1533-position model. The record is from RNAcentral.